Non-coding RNA from Schistosoma curassoni, 46 nucleotides. The record is from Rfam. NCBI's taxonomy places the organism in Eukaryota, Metazoa, Platyhelminthes, Trematoda, Strigeidida, Schistosomatidae.
GUAAAGGCCCUUUUCAGGGCCACCUACAAUUUGAUUUACAUUUUUU